GUUGCGGAAUGGCGCACAGCAACUGGGAAGCGGACUAAAGCCAUGGCACCAGUGGUAGCUCUUCGAUGGAGCGCCUCCUGCCAUGAAGGCACAACCAGCGGCUCCCCACGAUACACAACACCGAGAUGAUGAGGUAUGCCAUGGAAUGGUUGGGUUUUGAGUGGUAGGUGAUCCCUAUGCCGGCUGUGAUAGCGGCCAUCAUUGGUAUACAACAAUGCAGUGAUUGUCUCGGGUGUGCUCCUAUCCUCCCCACCUCCCCUAGAUGCGCAAUGUUAGGAAAACUAAUGAUUUUGUUCUCGGAUGUUCAUACAUAAUCUAGGUUGUUAUUGAGCUCCACGGCUGGCCUUAGAUUGGCUAUUCAGCAUCGGCACACUUUACUGAAAUCUAUACCAUAAGAACCUGUGCUCCAGUCUGACGAAGCAGCCAAGCUGUAUAUACACAUCUUUGCUUCCUGAUCCAUUUUGUUUUGCGAUUCAGGCCACCCCUGAUGGUCAGGCUGAUGCUUCUUCGCUUGAUUCUGAAGAAAAGGAUGAUCAGAUUCAGAUCUCCAAGAACAAUAG
Molecule: long non-coding RNA, 560 nt
Organism: Triticum dicoccoides
Lineage: Eukaryota; Viridiplantae; Streptophyta; Magnoliopsida; Poales; Poaceae
Exons: 2
Source: RefSeq, a predicted model, not a curated record